Zea mays is the source of this 624-nucleotide long non-coding RNA. RefSeq lists it as uncharacterized. The record is from RefSeq and is a predicted model, not a curated record. The transcript is spliced from 2 exons. Lineage: Eukaryota; Viridiplantae; Streptophyta; Magnoliopsida; Poales; Poaceae.
UCCCCGCUCGGUCUCGAACAGAUGCCGUGGGCGCCGACUUGCCACAGAUCUUGUGGGCCGUUGCAACCGCCUCCGUGGGUGCGCGCACUCAGAUAUAAAGCUAGCUGGGCACCGCGAACGCCCCCUCAACCAUCCCAUAUCUACGCCAUUGGGGCCUAUGCGUCGCUGUGCCGUCGUGCAGUCUGUGCGAUCCGAGGAGAGAGAGAAGGUGAGCCACGACCGCUGUAACAACGUCGCUAGGUCUGGGUGCCUCACCACUGUUCGUGGAGGCUUUCCAGUGCGGCUUCAUGUGGGGUCUUCGUCGACCAUGGCCGUAAUGGCUCGCUGAUGUUUAGCUUGCCAUAGAUCCAUCUCGGGUGUGGGGCAUCGCCAUCAAUCUCGUCAACCCCGGUGAGGAGACAACAAACUUUUGUUGUACCAAGGUGGUGAAAAGUGAAGAUAAUCAAGAAUGAAGCUGCCGGAGGACCAGGUCCUCCUUAAAAACUUUUAUGUAAAGAACUUAAUGGGAGGAGCUUUUACCUCCCAGGUAUUGUAAUAAUACUUUUCUGCACUCGCUUAUACUCUGGUCUGUAUUAAACGACUUACUCUUACUUUUAAAUAAAUGUAAGUUUAUGUAAUCACUUC